ACACAUGCAAGUCGAACGAAGCACUUGAUUUGGAUUCUUCGGAUGAAGAUCUUGGUGACUGAGUGGCGGACGGGUGAGUAACGCGUGGGUAACCUGCCUCAUACAGGGGGAUAACAGUUAGAAAUGACUGCUAAUACCGCAUAAGACCACAGCACCGCAUGGUGCAGGGGUAAAAACUCCGGUGGUAUGAGAUGGACCCGCGUCUGAUUAGGUAGUUGGUGGGGUAACGGCCUACCAAGCCGACGAUCAGUAGCCGACCUGAGAGGGUGACCGGCCACAUUGGGACUGAGACACGGCCCAAACUCCUACGGGAGGCAGCAGUGGGGAAUAUUGCACAAUGGGGGAAACCCUGAUGCAGCGACGCCGCGUGAGCGAUGAAGUAUUUCGGUAUGUAAAGCUCUAUCAGCAGGGAAGAAAAUGACGGUACCUGACUAAGAAGCACCGGCUAAAUACGUGCCAGCAGCCGCGGUAAUACGUAUGGUGCAAGCGUUAUCCGGAUUUACUGGGUGUAAAGGGAGCGUAGACGGAGUGGCAAGUCUGAUGUGAAAACCCGGGGCUCAACCCCGGGACUGCAUUGGAAACUGUCAAUCUAGAGUACCGGAGAGGUAAGCGGAAUUCCUAGUGUAGCGGUGAAAUGCGUAGAUAUUAGGAGGAACACCAGUGGCGAAGGCGGCUUACUGGACGGUAACUGAC
RNAcentral lists this ribosomal RNA (693 nucleotides) under uncultured Lachnospiraceae bacterium. RNAcentral's name for it is "bacterial SSU rRNA". It matches the Rfam family "Bacterial small subunit ribosomal RNA", at positions 51 to 744 of the family's 1533-position model. Lineage: Bacteria; Bacillati; Bacillota; Clostridia; Lachnospirales; Lachnospiraceae. The record is from RNAcentral.